This is a long non-coding RNA of Neltuma alba, 401 nucleotides long. RefSeq lists it as uncharacterized. The record is from RefSeq and is a predicted model, not a curated record. NCBI's taxonomy places the organism in Eukaryota, Viridiplantae, Streptophyta, Magnoliopsida, Fabales, Fabaceae. The transcript has 2 exons.
UCAAGGAUACCAUUUGAAAGGAUACUGACAGAAGUUAACCAUCUUGUGUUCUGUAAAGUUGCUUAUUAGUAUUUUAAAUUGCAGUAAAAGGUGCAAAAAGAAGCUUGGAGGGUUAGACAAAGUUAAGAUCUUUAUUUUAUGAACUUACAAAGUAAGAUGGUUGGCAGAAGUUUCUUGAAAGGGGGUCAACUUUGGGAAUACAAAAGUUCUGAUAUUUUCAAGGGCAGAAAAUCAAUAGACUUAUCUUGCAGGAUUUGCUUAGCUCUGAAAAUCUUGUGAUGUGUUGCAGGUUUGGACAAGUUGUGAAUCAUCGUAAGGAUUUGAUACAUAUUAACACUUUUGUUCUUCCUUUUAUUGAGUUAUUUUAGUUAGUAAAAAUGAUUUGAUACUGUUUCGUGCAA